This is a non-coding RNA of Pelobates cultripes (western spadefoot toad), 232 nucleotides long. The record is from the annotation of a GenBank genome assembly. NCBI's taxonomy places the organism in Eukaryota, Metazoa, Chordata, Amphibia, Anura, Pelobatidae.
CUCCUCUGGCUAUUUUGCCAGUGCCAUCCUGGUCCAUAAACGCUUGAUUGGGGUGCCUGUUUUUCCCCCCUCAUUUAAUUAGUUGCCUGCUGGUGGCUUGUGAAUUUAAUUUUGGAGAUUCUUAUUUUGAGGGUACAAGAGUUUGGCUCAAAGCACCUAUAAAGAAAUUUAACAUGCAAAAAGGGCUUACACUCGAUUUUCAAAUGACUUACACACUCAUAAAAUGUCCAGG